GGAGAAGGCCACCAGUUCUAACAGGACUGAGCAUGGCAUACAAACUAUCAUCCUGGAGUUCACUCUUAUUUAUGUUUCCGUUGACGCCAGAAGCAUCAAAUGCAGCUUCAAGGAGUCCAUUCCCAACAUUGUCCUUAGGCCUCAGGUCACUGGGCCUCUGCUCUGGGUCCCAACUCUGGGCCCCUCUUGCCAUACCCUUCCCCAGGGGGCAAGGAGUCCACUGGGCUCAAAGGGACAUUCCAUUCACAGCCAGUACCCCAGACAUGACUCCACUCACCGCCAGUACCCCAGACAUGACUCCACUCACAGCCAGUACCCCGUCUUCUAGCCACACGCUGUGGGCACGCGUGACCUCAGAAUCCUCUACCUGAAAAGCCCCUUGUGGGCCUCUGCUCUAGUCCCUCCUCUCAGAGAGGACAGGUGUGCAGCUCGGAGCUCGCCCUUAGGCCUGUGUGGUGGAAGCCAAGGGGCGGCUGUCUGGGGAUGGACGGAGCUUGGACUUGGAGCUGGGUGUCUGGUCUGUGACGGCGUCAACGCAGGCCAGAGCUGCGGCGGGAGAGAAGAGAACCGGCAUCUUCCGUUUGCACUCCUGAGUCGGGUCCUGCAAAUGCUGGGGGCAGGUCUGUCCCUUCCUGCCAGCCCGGGCAGCGAGGUUUGGUGGCUGCAAGGGCAGCAUUUGUGCCGGUCUUUGAAGUUUCCCCCUCACCUUUCCAAUCUCAACCAAGUGAACUUGGUUUUCAGAGGGAAUUGUGUUUCUGCUGUAACUACUACUAAACCAGCCACAGGAAUUUCUUUUUGUUGAGACCUUUUUGUUUGUGUGACUUUAAAAUUAGUGCAUGUUCAUGUAAAAAACUCACGUAGAGUUGCUGUGAAAUCUAGAAAAGAGAAUGAAAUUACUUCAUAACCCAUCUGUGCCUAGAUAGCUACCAUGAACGUUAUGUGUAUUUCCUUCCACUGUUGUUCUCGCUCUGUGGAUAUGUGCUUAUACUGUGUACAUAAAUAAUUGCUUUCCUACAA
This 1017-nucleotide long non-coding RNA is filed under the name Equus asinus (donkey). RNAcentral's name for it is "lncRNA (ENSEASG00005028867.1)". Lineage: Eukaryota; Metazoa; Chordata; Mammalia; Perissodactyla; Equidae. The record is from RNAcentral.